Molecule: long non-coding RNA, 694 nt
Organism: Balaenoptera ricei (Rice's whale)
Lineage: Eukaryota; Metazoa; Chordata; Mammalia; Artiodactyla; Balaenopteridae
Exons: 5
Source: RefSeq, a predicted model, not a curated record
GAGGCACAAGACGCUACCCAGAAGCCGCGUCUUGGUGCGCAUUCCCGUUCAUCCGCGAGGGCGACCCACUGCCCCUUCUGAGGACCGGUGAGCCCUUGGUCCGUGAAUAAAAAAUAUGCAUCUUUGAACUGAGGAAAUAUACGGUGGUUUCAAUCACACAUGCCUCCUGUGGUUGAUGGGGCUGCCAAGAGCUCUGUAUUCUGAGAUUGGAGCGAGGUUCAGCGAGAAGGAUCCGCGCUGCAUCUGUGGUGGCCCAGGGCUGGCCAUCUUAGUAAGCUCCACCGAAGGAAUCUGCCUGUAACAGGAGAAGAGAUCAACAUGCAGAGAAAAUCUGAGCCAAAAAUGAAGCUAGAGAGAGAAAGAGAGUGGCCUAAAAAUAUUGAUUGUGCUGGACUCAGGUAUAUACUCGAAAGUGGAAUUACUGGAUCAUAUGCACUUUGAAUAUUGGUGUGAACUGAAUUGUGUCCCCCCCUCAAAUUUAUAUGUUGAAGUCCUAACCCCAAUUACCAUGGAUGUGACUGUAUUUGAAGAUAUGGUCUUUAAGGAGGUGAUUAAGUUUCAAUGAGGCUGUUAAGAUGGUUCCUAAUCCAAUCUGACUGAUGUCCUUAUAAGAAGGGAAAGUUUGGACACAAAAAGAGACACCAUGGAUGAUAGUCAUGGACAAAGGGAUGACCAUGUGAAGAGACAGCAAGAG